CAACUUUUAGCAACGGAUCUCUUGGCUCUCGCAUCGAUGAAGAACGCAGCGAAAUGCGAUAAGUAAUGUGAAUUGCAGAAUUCAGUGAAUCAUCGAAUCUUUGAACGCAUCUUGCGCUCCUUGGUAUUCUGAGGAGCAUGCCUGUUUGAGUGUCAUAA
RNAcentral lists this ribosomal RNA (158 nucleotides) under Inocybe acanthosperma. RNAcentral describes it as "5.8S ribosomal RNA". It matches the Rfam family "5.8S ribosomal RNA". Rfam says of the family: 5.8S ribosomal RNA (5.8S rRNA) is a component of the large subunit of the eukaryotic ribosome. It is transcribed by RNA polymerase I as part of the 45S precursor that also contains 18S and 28S rRNA. The record is from RNAcentral. Lineage: Eukaryota; Fungi; Basidiomycota; Agaricomycetes; Agaricales; Inocybaceae.